CACGAGCAGUGCUUUUGCAUCGA
RNAcentral lists this non-coding RNA (23 nucleotides) under Arabidopsis thaliana (thale cress). The record is from RNAcentral. Lineage: Eukaryota; Viridiplantae; Streptophyta; Magnoliopsida; Brassicales; Brassicaceae.